GUGCUUGCUUCAGCAGCACAUAUGCUAAAACUGGAACAAUACAGAGAAGAUUAGCAUGGCCCCUGUGUAAGGAUGACGCAUAAAUUCGUGAAGCAUUCCAUAUUAAA
Sapajus apella (tufted capuchin) is the source of this 107-nucleotide small nuclear RNA. Lineage: Eukaryota; Metazoa; Chordata; Mammalia; Primates; Cebidae. The record is from RefSeq and is a predicted model, not a curated record.